Long non-coding RNA from Eriocheir sinensis (Chinese mitten crab), 2950 nucleotides. RefSeq lists it as uncharacterized. Lineage: Eukaryota; Metazoa; Arthropoda; Malacostraca; Decapoda; Varunidae. The record is from RefSeq and is a predicted model, not a curated record. The transcript is spliced from 2 exons.
AGAAGAAAAAGAAAGAAAAAAGGAAGAAAAUAAAUAUAGAAAGAAAACCGAGAAGGAGAAAAGAAGAACGACUGGAGAAGAAGACAAAAAGGAGAAAGAGGAAGAGGAGGAGGAGGAAGAAGAAGAGGAAGAGGAAGAGGAAGAGGAGGAGGAGGAGGAGGAGGAAGAGGAGGUCAGUCAAAUCAUUCACACACUCUCUAGCACCAUUGUCAGCUAAGUAAAAAAAAAAAAAAAUAUAGAAAAACAGAAAAAAACGGGAAAAAUCGUCUUGAGAUAAAUAAUUCAAACACAAAAGCGAGGAGGAAGCGAACAAGAAGCGGACACAAAAAAUAAUAAAUAUGUAAAGAUGAAUAAGUGAAAUAAAUCAGACAAAUAAAAAGAAAGUGGAGCGAUGGCAGUGGCUAGUAAGGAGGAUAUAAUAAUAAUAAUGAGUAAAAUAAAUAAGAAUGGCGAUAAACGAGACAAGUGCGAAUAGACGUCUCGGAUCUUGGACCAAAAAUAUAAAAAUCGACAUAAAACUGCGGAAAAAAUUAAAAUCCAAACCCAAAAACUGAUAUAAAAACAAUGAAAAUAAAAAUCAGUGUCGAAAUAAUAAUAAUAAUGAAUAAAAUAAAUAAGAAUGGCGAUAAACGAGACGAGUGCGAACAUAGACGUCUCGAAUCGUGGACCAAAAUGAAAAAUCGCCAUAAAACUGCGGAAAAAUUAUAAAACCCGAACCAGAAAAAUGACAAAAAACAAUGAAAAUAAUAAUAAUGUCUAAAAAAAAAAUAAUAAUCAUAGGCGUUACGAAGAAAGUAUAAACGCGGAAACCAGCAGUGGUGGCGGCGGCGGCGGCAGCAUUUAGCAACUAUCAUCAUCAACAUCAGCACCUUCAUCACACACUUUAUUAUUAUUUUUAAUUUUUUUUCUUCGACCACAUCAAGUCAGCCACAUCAGCAACAACAACAACAGCACUAAGAACAACAACAACAACAACAGCAUUGACACCACAGCUCCACUAGGCAUUAUAGGGCUUGGAAGGAGGAGGAGAAGGAGAAGAAGAAGAAGGAGGAGGAGGAGGAGUAGAGAAAGUAAAGUUAAACACAGGAAGCAAGCACACACACACACAUACGAAGCUUGAGAGAGAGAGAGAGAGAGAGAGAGAGAGAGAGAGAGAGAGAGAGAGAGAGAGAGAGAGAGAGAGAGAGAGAGAGAGAGAGAGAGAGAGAGAGAGAGAGAGAGAGAGAGAGAGAGAGAGAGAGAGAGAGAGAGAGAGAGAGAGAGAUAGAGAGUGGCUUACUUCAAACUUUUUAAAUGCAUUACUUUCUACUUUUCUCUCUCUCUCUCUCUCUCUCUCCCUCUCUCUCUCACACACACACACACACACACACACACUGCUGUUGCUACUGCUGCCAUUGCAUGCAAUAAAAGAAGAGGAGGAGGAGGAGGAGGAGGAGGAGGAUGUAUUAGGAAGCAGGACAGCCCUAUAUGAUGAGGAGCUUGUGUGCGUGUAUGUGUGUGUGCGUAUGUAAGUGUAUGUACGUAUGUGUGUGUGUGUGUGUGUGUGUGUGUGAAUAUGUAUGUGUGUGUUUGUGUACCCUCAGCAACAUACAAGGCACAUAUUUUCCCAUUUAGCAACGAUAGGCAGAACUGGAAGGAGGAGGAGGAAGAAGGAGGAGUAGGAGGAAGAAGAAGAAGGAGGGUAAUGGAGGAGAAGGAGGAGGAGGAGGAGGAGGAGGAGGAGGAGGAGGAGGAAAUAUCAGUGGUGGCAGUGUCUAAUUACUCUCCGUUCUCUCUCUCUUUCCGUCCUUUCAUUCAAGUAGUAUUUCCGAGGCAACAUUGGAAGACUAGGAACAGAGUCAGUCAGUCAUCGGAGCCACUAACUCAAUACAGACACACAGUUAGUUUUACCAGUGGCUAGGAAGUGUGUGUUUGUGUACCAGGCGGGACCAUACCCUUAAACGUACAAGGCUCCCAUUACGUCUAUUUCCCAAAGCUACAAGGAGGAUUAACCAGGUCCUUAUUGGUGAUUCCCCUGUUCAAGAUGCAGCAGCCGUGUUAACCUAGCGCCCAGCAUCACGAAAGAGUCAAUGGUAAUCCUACACGUGACAGCUUCCACGAGAGGCUUUUAAAAUAGGCGUAGAAGGGAGUCGAUACGUUUGAGAGUAUAGGUCCAGGCUGGUCUGUUUCCAUGUGGUCGAUUAGUUCUUUAUUUUCUGCAUUGGAAGACUUGUUGAGUUGAUUCUUGCAGCGGCUGAGUUGAGAUUGAUGGGUGGUGAGUUGUAGCAUUUGCGAGUGGACGUGUCUUCUCUCUCAAUCUCCGUCUUCCGGUUUCUCUGCUUAUUCAAUACUUCUCUCUUUGUGUUCUCUAUAUAUAUGAUUUUCUAGCUGUUGUAUAUGUAUGUUCAGCUGUUCUCUAUCUUCUAUCUCUCUUUCUCUCUCUGUUUUCAUAUGUUUUCUCUGCAUCCUUUCAAUUUCUCUCCCUUUCUUCUCUCUCUGUACAUUCAACUGCCUUCCAACUCUCUGUCUCUCCCUGUGGGCAUUCAUUUCUUCUCCUUCUCUCUCUCUCUGUGGAUUGAAACUCUCUACUAAAUGCAAUGGAAGACUAGUGUAGUUAAUCCUCACAGCAGCAUGACUUGAUGAAGGAAAGAAGGAGUUGAAUGCCGACUUGAGAACAUUGAAGAAAGGAGUUGAUUUCUUGGUGUUUCUCAUGUUAUUUCCUGGAUUCUGAGACAUCUGUAUAUACUUGAGUUAGCCCUUCACGUGUUCCUUUGGCAGAAGACUCGUAGAGGUAACCCUUGUUGAAAGAGGGAGUUGGAUGAAAGAAGUUGAUUUCAUGGUGUUUCUAAUGCUAUUUCUUGGGUUCUGAGACGUCUGUAUAUACUUCAGUCACCCCCUUCAAGUCCCCCUUUGCCGGAAGACUGGUAGAGAGGAUCCUUGUUGAUAGAGAGAGUUGGAUAAAAAGAGUUGA